GCCGGGAACAGUGGCACGUGCCUGUAGUCCCAGCUACUUGGGAGGCUGAGGUGGGAGGAUGGCUUGAGUCCAGGAAUUUUGGGCUGUAGUACACUAUGCUGAUCGGGUGUCCGCACUAAGUUUGGCAUCAAUAUGGUGACCUCCCAGGAGCGGGGGACCACCAGGUUGCCUAAGCGGGGGUGAACCAGCCUAGGUCAGAAAUGGAGCAGGUCAAAACUGCUGUGCUGAUCGGUAGUGGGAUCAUGCCUGUGAAUAGCCACUGCACUGCAGCCUGAGCAACAAAGCAAGACCCCAUCUCU
RNAcentral lists this signal recognition particle RNA (299 nucleotides) under Cebus imitator (Panamanian white-faced capuchin). Its description in RNAcentral is "Metazoan signal recognition particle RNA (ENSCCAG00000001749.1)". It matches the Rfam family "Metazoan signal recognition particle RNA". From Rfam's summary of the family: The signal recognition particle (SRP) is a universally conserved ribonucleoprotein. It is involved in the co-translational targeting of proteins to membranes. The record is from RNAcentral. Lineage: Eukaryota; Metazoa; Chordata; Mammalia; Primates; Cebidae.